GAUGAACGCUAGCGGCAGGCCUAAUACAUGCAAGUCGAACGAGAUUAAGAGGCUUGCUUCUUAUGAAAGUGGCGCACGGGUGCGUAACGCGUAUGCAACCUACCUUAAUCAGGGGGAUAGCCCGAAUAAAUUCGGAUUAAGACCGCAUAAAAACACAGGAUAGCAUUAUCCAAUGUUCAAAUAUUUAUAGGAUUCAGAUGGGCAUGCGUGUCAUUGGCUAGUUGGCGGGGUAACGGCCCACCAAGGCGACGAUGACUAGGGGAUCUGAGAGGAUGACCCCCCACACUGGUACUGAGACACGGACCAGACUCCUACGGGAGGCAGCAGUAAGGAAUAUUAGUCAAUGGAGGGAACUCUGAACCAGCCAUGCCGCGUGCAGGAAGACAGGCCUCUGGGUAGUAAACUGCUUUUAUUCGGGAAUAAACCUUUCUACGUGUAGGAAGCUGAAUGUACCGAAGGAAUAAGGAUCGGCUAACUCCGUG
This 482-nucleotide ribosomal RNA is filed under the name uncultured bacterium. RNAcentral describes it as "partial 16S ribosomal RNA". It matches the Rfam family "Bacterial small subunit ribosomal RNA", at positions 28 to 507 of the family's 1533-position model. The record is from RNAcentral.